Nematostella vectensis (starlet sea anemone) is the source of this 1144-nucleotide long non-coding RNA. RefSeq lists it as uncharacterized. The record is from RefSeq and is a predicted model, not a curated record. NCBI's taxonomy places the organism in Eukaryota, Metazoa, Cnidaria, Anthozoa, Actiniaria, Edwardsiidae. The transcript has 2 exons.
UUGGUUUUGUGGUCAUCGCGCGGUUACCCUGUGGUGUCACAAAUCAGCCGGCCAGUAAUCCAGCCGCGCAACUCUCAGGCCCCUCUCGGUCUUACGCUUUUAUGUGUUUUUAGUUCAUUGUUCGUAUGUUCACAGAAAAAAAGGCAGUAUUAAAUGAGAAAAUAUGCGGAUCCAAAUGGACUGAAGUCAUUUAGGAACCGUUUUGUCUGAAGUACGAGUCGAUAGUAAAAUCUACCCUAGUAUUCGUGAAUCCCGCCCGUCGCAACAGCUAAAAAGAGGACUAUAGAGGAGGACUGUGGAGGAUCUACACUACCAUUGUAUAUUCAUUCACGCCUAAAUUUAUGUAAGGAGAUCCUGAGAAGAAAGGGCCUUGAUGUUUGUUUUCAGCUAUAAAAAUCAUUCGCUUGUGUCGACGAGUUCCUUGCUAGCAGAAAUUCGACAACUUCACAGUUUACAACAAAAGCGAACAACACAACAAAAAGCGAAAAAAAAACUGCCAAGACUAAAACACCGUACCAGCUUUAGUUUGAUGUCAAGAUGCCAUAUCAAAGUCAUAUAUCCUUGUAUUGGUGUAAAUACGUAAAUACUUACAAGUUCUAUAAAUUCAGGCGUAUAUUCCUUACGGUAAGUAAGAAUUUAACGACAGAAUACGUAGUAGUCUAGUUACUGUAUCAAUGCCACUUAGCUUGUUGGAUUUAUACAUUUGUUUCUAGAGUUUGCUUUGAGAAUUCGUGGUCUAAUCAAACAUGUUGAGCAUCACAUCCUUUGAUAUUCUCCGUUCUCUCUAUACUUUAUUGAUUGCGUUGAGAUAUUUAAUGAAGGCUGACAAAUAUCAUCCUGUCAUAUAUUGCUAGAGAAGACCUUUCUUGUCUUUAUAUUCUGUGUAUUUAGUCUUUUCAAAGAUACAGCAAUAUUUUUUUCAACAUUUCAUAACUUUUAAGUUAAAACUUUAACUUUACAAUAACAAAAGAAUUUUCUCUUCCAAAAUAAAAAAAACAAAAUGCAAUCCUUUUUGCCUAUAUUGUUUUUGCUUUUAUAUUGUCUGCAUCUUGCAUACUUCCUAAUGUGUUUAUUUAUUUUUAUUCAAAUAGUUGCGGAAAUUUAGUAAGGUUAUAAAUGGCAUGAUGAAAAUAUUGUUUUGAAA